ACUCCUGCGGGAGGCAGCAGUGGGGAAUUUUGGACAAUGGGCGAAAGCCUGAUCCAGCCAUGCCGCGUGCAGGAUGAAGGCCUUCGGGUUGUAAACUGCUUUUGUACGGAACGAAACGGCCUUUUCUAAUAAAGAGGGCUAAUGACGGUACCGUAAGAAUAAGCACCGGCUAACUACGUGCCAGCAGCCGCGGUAAUACGUAGGGUGCAAGCGUUAAUCGGAAUUACUGGGCGUAAAGCGUGCGCAGGCGGUUAUGUAAGACAGUUGUGAAAUCCCCGGGCUCAACCUGGGAACUGCAUCUGUGACUGCAUAGCUAGAGUACGGUAGAGGGGGAUGGAAUUCCGCGUGUAGCAGUGAAAUGCGUAGAUAUGCGGAGGAACACCGAUGGCGAAGGCAAUCCCCUGGACCUGUACUGACGCUCAUGCACGAAAGCGUGGGGAGCAAACAGGAUUAGAAACCCUAGUAGUCCC
RNAcentral lists this ribosomal RNA (470 nucleotides) under uncultured organism. RNAcentral describes it as "partial 16S ribosomal RNA". It matches the Rfam family "Bacterial small subunit ribosomal RNA", at positions 335 to 797 of the family's 1533-position model. The record is from RNAcentral.